Molecule: ribosomal RNA, 518 nt
Filed under: uncultured bacterium
Lineage: Bacteria
Description: bacterial SSU rRNA
Rfam family: Bacterial small subunit ribosomal RNA
Source: RNAcentral
AGAGUUUGAUCCUGGCUCAGAUUGAACGCUGGCGGCAUGCUUUACACAUGCAAGUCGAACGGCAGCACGGGGGCAACCCUGGUGGCGAGUGGCGAACGGGUGAGUAAUACAUCGGAACGUAUCCUUGAGUGGGGGAUAACGCAGCAAAAGUUGUGCUAAUACCGCAUGAGCUCUGAGGAGGAAAGUGGGGGACCGUAAGGCCUCACGCUGAAGGGGCGGCCGAUGUCCGAUUAGCUAGUUGGUGAGGUAAAGGCUCACCAAGGCUUCGAUCGGUAGCUGGUCUGAGAGGAUGAUCACCCACACUGGGACUGAGACACGGCCCAGACUCCUACGGGAGGCAGCAGUGGGGAAUUUUGGACAAUGGGGGCAACCCUGAUCCAUCCAUGCCGCGUGAGUGAAGAAGGCCUUCGGGUUGUAAAGCUCUUUCGUGAGGGAAGAAACGGCCAUACUGAAUAGCUGUGGUUACUGACGGUACCUCAAGAAGAAGCACCGGCUAACUACGUGCCAGCCGCCGCGGU